CCUUCAUCCCUGCUUCUUCUUCUUACUCCCAAUAUGAUUAAGCAAGUUUAUCUCUCCCGAACCACUAUAUAUAUACAGUACAGUCUGUUCCGCAGAUCCACAUGAAACACAGAAGAAGAGAUUGUGCGGUACGCUCACUGUACUACUCCGCCGUCUGGGGUGAACGUAUUCCUGUACUCAACUGCCGCCACCGUGGCGGUGCCGUCGUCCAUAACCGCCGAGGAUAGCGGCGGCAGUGGAGAACUUCCGGCGGGCUGUUCGAACUUCAUAUUCUUGGGAGCGUAAGUCAUCGCCGCAUUUAUAUUGAAUAUAAUGGAAGAAACAAAAAGUUUGGCUUAGCUUGCUGGUUAUAUGUGCUCACCUACCUCUGAUCUUAACAAACACUUCAGCCUGGACGAUGGUCUUACAACAAAUGUUUGGAUCACACACAUUGGAAAUGACAAAGGAUCGGGUUCCUAGUUGCUCAUUCCAAAUUGUCGAGCUUGACUCAUUCCGAAUCGUCGAGUCUUUACUUUUGAAUUAUCUGUUGGAACGUUCCAUCCGGUUCAUUCUUAAUCGUUGAGCCUGACUCAUUCUGAAUCGUCGAGUCUUUAUGGACCAUUAUGCCGAUAAUGGCCUGUGCCGAUAUAAUGGUGGUUGUAGGUUGCCAAUGAGUUAUAUGUUAAGGAAUGAUUUGAGCUUUUAAAAGUAUUGUGUUAUGAAAUAAUGUUGAUGCCCAUGUACCUAAAGUUUUCUAUAUUUGGGAACUUGUGUACAGUAUGAUAGAAUUAUAUUAUGAAUUGGUAUAGUUAAAAGAUCGAGAUUUGCAUAUAUUUAUUACUCUAAAGCUUAUUGUAUUAUAUUAAGGUUACUUGAUCCGGGGUUAAGAAGAGUAUCACUUACUGGGCAUUAGCUCAUUAUUUAAUAUUUUCUUAUGUUUCAUAGUUAAGGAGUUGUGAAUAGCACUAGCACUAGCGAUGAGGUCUUGAAAGUGACUUUUGAAACUAGGAGGCUUAGUUCUAGUAUUGGAGCUUAUCACAGAUUUUUGUUUCUUUGGAUAUUCAAUUCCAUUUGACCGUUUAUAUUUUUGGUAAAGCAUUAUGCUUGAUUUUGGUGCUUGUGAUGCAUUUUGGACAUACUACUCUUGAUUG
Molecule: long non-coding RNA, 1130 nt
Organism: Ipomoea nil (Japanese morning glory)
Lineage: Eukaryota; Viridiplantae; Streptophyta; Magnoliopsida; Solanales; Convolvulaceae
Exons: 3
Source: RefSeq, a predicted model, not a curated record